GACGAACGCUGGCGGCGUGCUUAACACAUGCAAGUCGAACGGUGAAGCGCCUUCCUUUUUGGUGGGUGUGGAUGAGUGGCGAACGGGUGAGUAACACGUGAGUAACCUGCCCCCUUCUUCUGGAUAACCGCAUGAAAGUGUGGCUAAUACGGGAUAUUCUGGGUCUGUCGCAUGAUGGGUCUGGGAAAGAUAUUGUUUCGGUGGGGGAUGGGCUCGCGGCCUAUCAGCUUGUUGGUGGGGUGAUGGCCUACCAAGGCGGUGACGGGUAGCCGGCCUGAGAGGGUGGACGGUCACACUGGGACUGCGACCCGGCCCAGACUCCUACGGGAGGCAGCCGUGGGGAAUAUUGCACAAUGGGCGCAAGCCUGCUGCAGCGACGCCGCGUGAGGGAUGGAGGCCUUCGGGUUGUGAACCUCUUUCGCCAGUGAAGCAGGCCUGCCUCGUUUGUGGGUGGGUUGACGGUAGCUGGAUAAGAAGCGCCGGCUAACUACGUG
This 494-nucleotide ribosomal RNA is filed under the name uncultured bacterium. Its description in RNAcentral is "partial 16S ribosomal RNA". It matches the Rfam family "Bacterial small subunit ribosomal RNA", at positions 28 to 507 of the family's 1533-position model. The record is from RNAcentral.